Molecule: ribosomal RNA, 1482 nt
Filed under: Triticum aestivum (bread wheat)
Lineage: Eukaryota; Viridiplantae; Streptophyta; Magnoliopsida; Poales; Poaceae
Description: partial small subunit ribosomal RNA
Source: RNAcentral
ACAGGCCACAGCCCGCAGCCACGGCACCCCCAUCCUCCGCCGCCGGCGCCGCCCAGCUCCCCGUCCCCCCGGCCGCGCCUACGAACAAGCGCGGGCGCCGUUCCGCGAACCGGAGCACCGUGAGAGCCAACCACUGGCCGCCGCUGACCACCUAGAGCCCCAGCUCCCUCUCCGCCAGCGGCGAUGACCUCGGCGCACUCCAAGCUCUACUCCGAUGACGUCAGCCUCGUCGUGGUGGUCGUCGACACCAACCCCUUCUUCUGGGCCGGCGCCGCGCUCCCCUUCGCCGACUUCUUGUCCCACCUGAUCCACUUCGUGAACUCGCUCCUGCUGCUGAGCAACCUCAACCACGUGGUCAUCAUCGCAGCGGGUGUCAGCUCCUGCGCCUACGUCUUCGACUCGGGCAAUGCUGGUGCCUCCGGCGCGGCAGAUGUUGCUGAAACCUUAGGCAAGGCGAGCCGCAAGAUGGAGGAGUUCAUUAAGCAGGAUGCCCGUGAGACUGCCAGCAAUGGCACCGUUGCUGAUGGCGGUGCGGCGUCGCUGUUUUCUGGCGCGCUGUCCCUUGCUCUGUGCUAUAUACAGAGGAUUUUUCGGUCUGGUACUCGGCAUCCCCAACCUCGGAUUUUGUGCCUGCAGGGUUCUCCAGACGGACCUGAACAAUAUGUGGCUGUGAUGAAUUCGAUAUUUUCGGCUCAACGAUCCAUGGUUCCAAUCGAUACAUGUAUUGUGGGGACCCAAGACUCCGCUUUCUUGCAGCAGGCUUCAUAUAUAACAGGAGGAGUUUAUAUGAAGCCCCAAGAACUAAGUGGUCUAUUUCAAUACCUUGCUGCUGUAUUUGCAACGGACUUACACUCCAGAACUUUUCUGCGCCUCCCUAAGACCCUGGGAGUAGAUUUCCGUGCCUCAUGUUUCUGCCACAAGAAGACUAUAGACAUGGGAUAUGUUUGUUCAGUUUGCUUGUCAAUAUUCUGCAAGUAUCAUAAGAAAUGUUCAACUUGUGGGUCAGAAUUCAGCCGUGUCAGCAUGCCUGAUUUAAACUCCUUGCCAGAUCAAAGGCAGUAGUAAUCUGUAAACAGGAAAAUGCCAGACUGCACAUUGUUUCUUCACAGAUGCUGAAUCAUUGCGAGGAGGGGAUCAUGUGUGUGUAUUCAAAGGGCUGCCGAUGUAUUAACUACUAGGGAAACUGGAGUGCAGUUUUGUUGGACAUUAUCCCGAGUGAAGAAUGCGCAUUAGCUUUGGUACAAUUUCAUUCUUCUUUGGGAGCUUCGCCCUGAACCUGUAACCCUUGAAACCUUGUGAAACUGAUGCAAAACAAUGAUGGAAAUUAGAUAACUUAUUAUAUUCCACUCUUCUUUGGGAGCUUUGCUCUGAACCUGUAACCCUUAAAAUCUUGCUAAGCUGGUGCAAAACAAUGUUGGGAAUUACAUGACUUGUUAUAACAGCUUGAUCGAGGAAAUAAGACUGUCUAAGUAUCUUUUUGGG